CGCGCGUGUGCAGGCGUGACGGGCGGCGAGGGGAGGGCGCCGUGCGCCGGCGGCGGAAGGGGUGAGAUGUCGCUGCGCGUCGUGAAGGGGCUGGUGCUGCUGGAGGCGGCGGGUCUGCUCGGCGCCGUCCUGCUCUACCGCGCCAUGGACCGCAGCCGAGAUUUCAGAUAUACAAUGCAGAAGAGGUUUCCAUCAAUCCUGGAAGUGUAUUACAAAUCCAAUGAGUGGUCUGGAAUUCACGGUAUAAGGGAGAAUGACCAAAUGGCAUGGUUAAGCAGCAAGAACUGAACCCUCUGUGCCUGAACUGUUUCUUCUUUUUGAUGAUGCUUUUCACAUCCCUAUUGUGAAGCCACUUGUCACGCUCUAUUUCCCACUGGAUCUGUUUGACAUCUGUAAGAGAAAAGGUGAGAGAUAAGGAGCUGAUGGACACCUCUGACCAUGAUGUGGAAUGCAGAUGAAUCAUGUAAAAGCUAAAGCUUGGCCACUGUGUUUAUUAAUGUUAAUAAAAUGCAAGCUGCCAAUUUAUAUUUUAUUUUA
Phalacrocorax carbo (great cormorant) is the source of this 537-nucleotide non-coding RNA. Lineage: Eukaryota; Metazoa; Chordata; Aves; Suliformes; Phalacrocoracidae. The record is from RefSeq and is a predicted model, not a curated record.